RNAcentral lists this ribosomal RNA (252 nucleotides) under uncultured bacterium. Its description in RNAcentral is "partial 16S ribosomal RNA". It matches the Rfam family "Bacterial small subunit ribosomal RNA", at positions 524 to 776 of the family's 1533-position model. The record is from RNAcentral.
UACGGAGGAUCCAAGCGUUAUCCGGAAUCAUUGGGUUUAAAGGGUCCGUAGGCGGUUUGGUAAGUCAGUGGUGAAAGCCCAUCGCUCAACGGUGGAACGGCCAUUGAUACUGCCAGACUUGAAUUACUAGGAAGUAACUAGAAUAUGUAGUGUAGCGGUGAAUGCUUAGAUAUUACAUGGAAUACCAAUUGCGAAGGCAGGUUACUACUAGUGGAUUGACGCUGAUGGACGAAAGCGUGGGUAGCGAACAGG